RNAcentral lists this ribosomal RNA (73 nucleotides) under Karenia brevis. The record is from RNAcentral. Lineage: Eukaryota; Dinophyceae; Gymnodiniales; Kareniaceae.
UACUAGCGCAGAUGCAGCCAACGCUGGCCAUCGAGGCCCUUCAACAGGAAGGUGACAAUACACAGCCGCCAGA